AUUGAACGCUGGCGGCAUGCCUUACACAUGCAAGUCGAACGGUAACAGGUCUUCUGUUGCUGACGCGUGGCUGACGGGUGAGUAAUACAUCGGAACGUGCCCGAUCGUGGGGGAUAACGGAGCGAAAGCUUUGCUAAUACCGCAUCCGAUCUACGGACGUAAGCCGGGGACCGCAAGGCCUUGCGCGGGCGGAGCGGCCUAGGGCAGAGUAGGUAGUUGGUGGGAUAAAAGCUUACCAAGCCGACGAGCUGUAGCUGGUCUGAGAGGACGAGCAGCCACACUGGAACUGAGACACGGCCCAGACUCCUACGGGAGGCAGCAGUGGGGAAUUUUGGACAAUGGGCGAAAGCCUGAUCCAGCCAUGCCGCGUGCAGGAUGAAGGCCUUCGGGUUGUAAACUGCUUUUGUACGGAACGAAAAGACUCUUUCUAAUAAAGAGGGUGCAUGACGGUACCGUAAGAAUAAGCACCGGCUAACUACGUG
RNAcentral lists this ribosomal RNA (482 nucleotides) under uncultured bacterium. RNAcentral's name for it is "partial 16S ribosomal RNA". It matches the Rfam family "Bacterial small subunit ribosomal RNA", at positions 30 to 507 of the family's 1533-position model. The record is from RNAcentral.